Molecule: ribosomal RNA, 143 nt
Filed under: uncultured eukaryote
Lineage: Eukaryota
Description: partial 18S ribosomal RNA
Rfam family: Eukaryotic small subunit ribosomal RNA
Source: RNAcentral
UGGUGGUGUGAAUUGUCUGGUUAAUUCCGUUAACGAACGAGACCCGAGCCUGCUAAAUAGUCUGGCGAAUCUCUUGAUUCGUGCAGAAUACUUCUUAGAGGGACUAUCGGUGGUGUACCCGGUGGAAGCUUCGGGCCAUAACA